Long non-coding RNA from Malus domestica (apple), 680 nucleotides. RefSeq lists it as uncharacterized. The record is from RefSeq and is a predicted model, not a curated record. NCBI's taxonomy places the organism in Eukaryota, Viridiplantae, Streptophyta, Magnoliopsida, Rosales, Rosaceae.
UUUUCUUUUAUAUCAUUUCCCUCUCAUUCUUGAGUAUGUGGUUGUUCAAUCUCUAUUCUUUGUUCGAAACUGAUUUUGUGUUUGUUGUUUGUGCAGAUAACUUCGGCUUCCAACUUUGUGUCUCCCAUCAUUUCAGGAAAGUCACAAUGUUAUCUGAUCUACACCAGUUUGGGGAAGUCAUUUCCUUCGGUCACACUCAACUUUGCAGCUGCUGCGUCAAUAACUUUGACACCACAAGACUACCUGCUAUAUUCAGGAUCUCAUGUUGGUGCUGCUAUGUGGUGUCUAGGUUUCAAGAAAACUCGGGAAGCAAGCCGAGGCUUCACAGUAUCUUGUUCUGAGAGAUAAGAUUGUGGUAUAUGAUUUAGCCCGUCAACAACUCGGAUGGGCUAAUUACAAUUGCUCAUCACCGGUGAAUUUCUCUACGGCUUUUCACCCGACACACCGAAAUGGAAGCAGUGGCUCAUCAGGAGACACACUAAUCAAGUUGCUAAAAACUGUGACUCUGCUCCUCUUGAUGCAUUUGUUCAAUCUGUAUAUGUGAUUUACACAACUUUCAGCAUUCAAGCUUGUAUAUGUUAUGUGCACUGAGACAUAAAACCCUUUAGGGUUUGAUUUCUAUCCUCCUCUUCUAAAUAGCAAAUUAGCAAUAGAAAAGGGUCCGCAGGACCUGUGUUUUA